GGAGUUUGGGCCGUGUCUCAGUCCCAAUGUGGCCGUUCACCCUCUCAGGCCGGCUACUGAUCGCAGGCUCGGUGGGCCGUUACCCCGCCGACAACCUAAUCAGACGCAUCCCCAUCCCAUAGCGAUGAAUCUUUGCUUGACGUUAGAUGUCUGCUGUCAAGAACAUAGGGAAUUAAUCCGACUUUCGCCGGGCUGUGCCCUACUACGGGGAAGGUUGGAUACGCGUUACUCACCCGUGCGCCGGUCGCCAUCACAGAUAGCAAGCUACCUGCAUGCUGCCCCUCGACUUGCAUGUGUUAAGCCUGUAGCUAGCGUUCAUC
This 320-nucleotide ribosomal RNA is filed under the name uncultured Prevotella sp. Its description in RNAcentral is "partial 16S ribosomal RNA". The record is from RNAcentral. Lineage: Bacteria; Pseudomonadati; Bacteroidota; Bacteroidia; Bacteroidales; Prevotellaceae.